RNAcentral lists this long non-coding RNA (1513 nucleotides) under Scleropages formosus (Asian bonytongue). RNAcentral describes it as "lncRNA (ENSSFOG00015031997.1)". The record is from RNAcentral. Lineage: Eukaryota; Metazoa; Chordata; Actinopteri; Osteoglossiformes; Osteoglossidae.
UAUUCUUUACACAUUAUGUGUGAUUUUGCCUUUUUGGUGGGUGUUGUUCAUGAAAAACUGACUGCGUCAGUCGAUUGGUAUGGGUGGCGGGUCUGUUAGAUGUAAACUUGUAAGUUUUCCUGGAAAAGGGCUUACCUGAUGUAGCACGCCGAGGUUGCCCGGGGAGGGGGCGGAGACGGGGUUAAAGCAGCCACAGCUGGGGCUGAUUUCAUCCCCUAUUUCUUCCCCGGUGCCCAGCAGUAGAGGGAAGAGACCGAGAUGACCGCCGACCCGAUCCCUGACACAAAGCCCACAUCCCGAUCGACCCGACUCUCCCAGCCUGCACGAAACCUUUCCCUCCCUGUUCCCUGCUCCCCCUUUCCUAUCUCCGUCCUUCUCCGCUGUCUAGCAAAUACAAGCCCACGGCUACGGGCAACUGCAUCUCCUGUCUCCUGCCUCGUCUCUUACACCUGAUAAAUCAAUAGUUAGAGGCUGGCACAGGAAAUUAUGAGAUGCAGCUGUUGCCUCAGCAAAAAAAGAAAGAAAAAAAAUCCAACUGAGCAACUACUUUUUCUGAAUUAACCGGGGCUGUUUGGAAUGGAAAUUGACCAUAAUGAUAUUAGGGAGCAUGGAGCUCUCUAGUUGUUAAUGAAUCUUCAGUCUCCAGGUUACAGCCUGAUGGCUGAGAGCGUCUCCACCACCAAGAAGAAGAUUCUGACAUACCACCGCAAUGUGGAAGCCUUCCGUUUCAUGUAUGCCAAGCAGAGUCUAAUGGGUGACCCGCUGUACCUGAACAUCACAGAUAACUCUGCACUUGAGUUUGUCAUCGUGUGGAACAAAACCAUGACAGAAGGUUCUGCCCAUUAUCCGGACUCAGCAGAACUCGCCCAGAUGCGCAACAUGCUUGCCUUCCAUGGGGCGAUCAUUGGUGCGCAUGAGCAGUCACGGGCACAACUGGAAGACAAGAGGCUGCAUCAAGUCCUGCAAACUGCAGGGAUUAUCCAGUCCCCCGUAACAACCACGCCCGUGGUUCCAGCCGGUCCUGCACCACCCGCACCUCCCGAGGAAUUUGGACCUGAUACAACCAUCGCCAUUCCUGAGGAGUACGAUGGCUCACUCAAUCAGUGCCAGGGCUUCCUGAUGCAGUGUGAAUUGGUGUUUGAAUGCUCCCUACGCAUGUACCAGACCGAUGAAGCCAAAAUAGCAUUUGUGCUUUCCUUAUUGGUAGGUCCAGCUCCUGCCAAAUUAAUUUAGUAUGCGUGUUUUGUGUUAAAUUCCAACAGUUCAUCACAUGUUCAACCAAUGUGUGUGUCAUGUAACUGACAUUAGAAAAAUGGCCUUUUAAGUGAUUCAUUUUGGCAGCUUUGGCUCUAAGGUUCUGUCCCAGCGCACUGGAAUCCUCUUGAACAAUGAGAUGGAUGACUUCAGCUCCUCCAACAUCACCAAUGGCUUUGAUGUGGCACCUCCACCAAACAACUACAUCCGACCAGGUGAGAGAAGCUGGUUUUUGGUUGUCUGCAAGUCCUCAAAGCCC